UACCCAAUCCCGAUUCGGGGAGGUAGUGACAAUAAGUAACAAUACAGGGCCAACGGUCUUGUUAUUGGAAUGAGAACAAUUUAAAUAACUUAACGAGGAUCAAUUAGAGGGCAAGUCUGGUGCCAGCAGCCGCGGUAAUUCCAGCUCUAAUAGCGUAUAUUAAAGUUGUUGCAGUUAAAAAGCUCGUAGUCGGAUGUCGGGCUCGGGCAGGCUGUCGGCUUCGGUCGGACGGCAGGCUCGGGUCUUUCUGCCUGAGGAUCCCGUCACUUGAUUGUGGCGGGGGACGCAGGCCGUUUACUUUGAAAAAAUUAGAGUGUUCAAAGCAGGCCUACGCUUGAAUACAUUAGCAUGGAAUAAUGGAAUAGGACUUUGGUGCUAUUUUGUUGGUUUAUGGGACCGAAGUAAUGAUUAACAGGGACAGUUGGGGCCGUUUAUAUUUCGUUGUCAGAGGUGAAAUUCUUGGAUUUACGAAAGAUAAACUUCUGCGAAAGCAUUCGGCAAGGAUGUUUUCAUUGAUCAAGAACGAAAGUUAGGGGAUCGAAGACGAUCAGAUACCGUCGUAGUCUUAACCAUAAACUAUGCCGACUAGGGAUCAGUGGAUGUCAAUUUGCGACUCCAUUGGCACCUUGUGAGAAAUCAAAGUUUUUGGGUUCCGGGGGGAGUAUGGUCGCAAGGCUGAAACUUAAAGGAAUUGACGGAAGGGCACCACCAGGAGUGGAGCCUGCGGCUUAAUUUGACUCAACACGGGGAAACUUACCAGGUCCAGACAUAGUAAGGAUUGACAGAUUGAAAGCUCUUUCUUGAUUCUAUG
This 811-nucleotide ribosomal RNA is filed under the name uncultured marine cryptophyte. RNAcentral's name for it is "SSU rRNA". It matches the Rfam family "Eukaryotic small subunit ribosomal RNA", at positions 442 to 1272 of the family's 1831-position model. The record is from RNAcentral. Lineage: Eukaryota; Cryptophyceae.